This 499-nucleotide ribosomal RNA is filed under the name Duganella vulcania. Its description in RNAcentral is "bacterial SSU rRNA". It matches the Rfam family "Bacterial small subunit ribosomal RNA", at positions 1032 to 1533 of the family's 1533-position model. Lineage: Bacteria; Pseudomonadati; Pseudomonadota; Betaproteobacteria; Burkholderiales; Oxalobacteraceae. The record is from RNAcentral.
ACACAGGUGCUGCAUGGCUGUCGUCAGCUCGUGUCGUGAGAUGUUGGGUUAAGUCCCGCAACGAGCGCAACCCUUGUCAUUAGUUGCUACGAAAGGGCACUCUAAUGAGACUGCCGGUGACAAACCGGAGGAAGGUGGGGAUGACGUCAAGUCCUCAUGGCCCUUAUGGGUAGGGCUUCACACGUCAUACAAUGGUACAUACAGAGGGCCGCCAACCCGCGAGGGGGAGCUAAUCCCAGAAAGUGUAUCGUAGUCCGGAUUGUAGUCUGCAACUCGACUGCAUGAAGUUGGAAUCGCUAGUAAUCGCGGAUCAGCAUGUCGCGGUGAAUACGUUCCCGGGUCUUGUACACACCGCCCGUCACACCAUGGGAGCGGGUUUUACCAGAAGUAGGUAGCUUAACCGUAAGGAGGGCGCUUACCACGGUAGGAUUCGUGACUGGGGUGAAGUCGUAACAAGGUAGCCGUAUCGGAAGGUGCGGCUGGAUCACCUCCUUUCUAG